Molecule: long non-coding RNA, 627 nt
Filed under: Lotus japonicus
Lineage: Eukaryota; Viridiplantae; Streptophyta; Magnoliopsida; Fabales; Fabaceae
Description: long non-coding RNA (LJAP_LNC000552)
Source: RNAcentral
GCAAUUCAAAAUACACACAAGAGGAUAUAAACACACCUUUUUGCAUGAUUUGUUUUUGGUAAAAAUUCUUGUUCCUUUUUUUUGUUGUGAGCUCCAAGAGCAAUGAGAAAGCCGCCACCACUCUUUCCAUGAUGUGAACAAACCAACCACCACCACUUCAAUUUUUAAGGAUACGAAGUGCGAGAAUGUAUUCGUGUCGGAGCUAAAGAAUUGAAGGAAAGCGAGCCGGUACGAGGACCGAUGACAUGAUCGGAUCGAAGUCGCAACUUAGGAAAGAAAGUGGCUAAGGUGAAGACACUUCGCUUCGGCUAUUUAUAUUAUUGAAUAUCUGCUAUGUGAUUGUUGUGAGCUAUUCUCUUAGACUAUUUAUAUUGUUGAAUAUAUGCUAUAUGAUUGAGUGAGAGCACUUUGAUGCUUGCUAUUUGAUAUAAUGGCUUUUUGUGAUGAUGACUUGUAUUUUGUGAUAUUUAAUUGUCUGUUGACGGCAUAUCGAUUGUGUAAGCGAAGGGUUUCUCCAAGUAUCGGUUAGACGAGAUUCUAACGAUGCUUUAGAUCUUUUGUGGUUUUGAAUAGAGAGGUUUUCUCAAAAAGAGUUACACAAGGUGGGAACAUUUUAUUUAAUUUACU